Long non-coding RNA from Acanthopagrus latus (yellowfin seabream), 1038 nucleotides. RefSeq lists it as uncharacterized. NCBI's taxonomy places the organism in Eukaryota, Metazoa, Chordata, Actinopteri, Spariformes, Sparidae. The record is from RefSeq and is a predicted model, not a curated record. The transcript is spliced from 3 exons.
AGGUCCAUCCCCAUCCUCUACAGAGCCUUGUCUCGCACCCCCAUCCUCUGUGCCCACUGUCCCCUCAGGCUAUGUGUCUGUAACCACAGCUGAUUUACCUGAGCCUUGUCUCGCACCCCCAUCCUCUGUUCCCACUGUCCCCUCUGGGUCUGCAACUACAGCUGAUUUACCUGCAACUUCCACCACAACGUCCGCUUGGCACCAUGGAUCAUCAUCAGCUCUGCCAGUUGAUCCAGCUGAGUGGCCUUCUUUCCUCUCAGAUUUAGACAGGACUGAGUAGGCAAUCAGAGGGCCACUGCCUAUUCAGGAGAACUUUUCAUUCCCCAAAAGGCAUGAUGGCCGAAGUUUCCAUUAUCACUAUACCUAUAGACAGUUAGACAAUGGGGAAAAAGUAAAGCGGAGCUGGCUGACUUAUUCAAGAAGUAAAGACGCAGUCUAUUGCUUUUGCUGUAAAUUAUUUUCAAAAAAGUCCUUAAAACUUGCAACUGAGGGACAGCGGGAUUGGGUCAACAUUGGUGCACUGCUAAAACAGCAUGAGAAUGGUGAAGAUCAUUGCAGCAACAUGGUGAAAUGGAAGGAAUUUGUCUUGCGUCUGUCAAAGGGGAAAACUAUUGAUGAGACAGAAAUGGGCCUCCUUGAGGCAGAAAAGAAUUGCUGGAGAGAUGUUCUCACACGCUUAAUCAGUAUUAUCCAGUCACUAGUAGAAAGGAACCUGGCACUGAGGGGAUCUGUUGACACAUUACAUCAGGCCAACAAUGGGAACUUUCUAAAAGAAGUGGAACUGAUAGCUAAAUUUGAUCCUGUAUUGAGAGAUCACGUGAGACGCAUCGACAGUGGAGGAGAACAUAUCACAUACUUGGGGAAAACGAUUCAAAAUGAGUUGAUAACCUGUGUUAGUGAUAAAAUAGUGGAGACAAUGGUGUCUGAAAUAAAAGAUUCAAAAUACUAUGCCAUAAUACUGCAUUGCACCCCAGAUGUAAGUCAUCAAGAACAGAUGUCUGUUGUUGUGCGCGCUGUAAAUCUUGGAAAAACGCCAGA